Long non-coding RNA from Cyprinus carpio (common carp), 1171 nucleotides. The record is from Ensembl. Lineage: Eukaryota; Metazoa; Chordata; Actinopteri; Cypriniformes; Cyprinidae.
AUGACUGUCUAUCUCUCGAAUACAUUUUUCUGUUAUCUAUCUAUCUAUCUAUCUAUCUAUCUAUCUAUCUAUCUAUCUAUCUAUCUAUCUAUCUAUCUAUCUAUCUAUCUAUCUAAUACAUUUGAGAUUUUUCUAUACAUAUAUUUGUGUCUAUAUUUCUGUCUGUCUCUCUUUCUGUUUAUAGAACUGAGGUGUUGUCUUGUUAGUGUCUUGUUCUGUACUUUUUUUGCAGCAUCCCAGACUUUCGUUCAAGCAGCAGAACAUGUAGCAGGAAUCUGGAUGCUGUAUGGACGCAGUGCACUGUAUUCUCAACCACACAUACAGCACAAACUCCAACCACCAUGCCGCCUGUCACAGGCUAACGAACACCACCUGUCACUCACCCCAUGCGGGGGCUGUCAAUCAAAUCAAACCCCAAAAGAGAAAGAGGAGUGGGCGGGCCCAGUGCAGACCCCUAACAAAGGCAUCCUCCCAUUGUAAACAUAUUUUAUGACGAUUUGAGGAUUCCAGCUGACCUUGAUGUGUAGAAGUAACACUAAGCUGGUAAGUACUGGCACUUUUUUCUCUGAUCCUGCAGUUGUUGAUUUGUAUUGAUUAAUCUGGUUGAUCUGUUUGGUUAACCACAACACAAACCAUGAGGAUUUUGACGGGAGUAGUUCCAGUAGAGUGAAACAAAAUUGAAUUGAGCUCUCGGGAGAAAUCUCCACUCACACCGAUCUUGAUUUCUCUGCUUUCUCUGUGGUGAAAGACUGGAAAAGCUCAUCUCUUAUCUGAAGUAUGUCGGUCUACUAUCUCCCACUGUUCUCCUCUCGGCAAAUGACUGGCAUCCCAUGAGCAAACAGUCUUAACUGGACCUGUCAGAACAUAAGUACACCUGUAUUGUGUGCGAGAAGAGAGGAAAGAGAGGAGAACGCAGAGUGUGUGAGGAACAUGAUAAUCACAGCCCUGAGCUGCUUAUCUCCAGAGAUGCAGCAUAAGCUUUGCUCUUUGCGCUCUGUUUUGACCAUUGUGCUAGUUGAGUAAAUUUGCCCUUGGCCCGAGGGGAUCUGAACCCCACCCUGCUUCCAAACUUAUCUGUCCGUCUGUCAGCCCUUCAAAUGUCUCACACCUUCACAACCUCACCAUACAAAAUCUUAAUAAACAUUUCCAAAUAAAAGGUGAUGAAAAAGAU